GGCCGCCUGGCGAAAUGGCAUCGCGUCUGACUACGAUAUCGGUAAUCAGGAGAUUGCAGGUUCGACCCCUGCGGUGGUCA
Molecule: transfer RNA, 80 nt
Filed under: Agaricus bisporus var. burnettii
Lineage: Eukaryota; Fungi; Basidiomycota; Agaricomycetes; Agaricales; Agaricaceae
Also listed under: 1 other name
Rfam family: tRNA
About the family: Transfer RNA (tRNA) molecules are approximately 80 nucleotides in length.
Source: Rfam by way of RNAcentral